This 965-nucleotide long non-coding RNA is filed under the name Equus caballus (horse). Its description in RNAcentral is "lncRNA (ENSECAG00000056802.1)". Lineage: Eukaryota; Metazoa; Chordata; Mammalia; Perissodactyla; Equidae. The record is from RNAcentral.
UCGGCGCACUGUGUCCCCGUCCCUCGCCGACCCGCUUCCCGCGUCGGUCCGCGCCCUGGAGACGGCAGCCGGGGCGGUCACAGCCAGGGGCGGAGGCUGCAGGGGACCGGUGACCCGCGAGGGGCCGGGCGCGGAGGAAGAAGAGCGGGCGCUGGAGGGGGGAGGAGGGGCGGCAGGACAUACUGUUCAAGGGCUGGUCGGGGCGCGGGCUGGACCUGAGAUCUCCUGGUGUCCUGCCGCAGGUCAAGGUGGUCGCAGCCAGUGGCCCUGCGAAGGACGGGGUCUAAGAGGGGACAGAAGUUGGGGACCCAUGUCCUAGGUCAUCACUGGGGCAUCGGAGGGACAGAGGUGUCCAAAGGGUGGAUGUCCCAGCCUGGUACCGCCGCCGCGAGGUCCGCUGUGGACCGCACCCCAGCCCUAACCCGGUUUCCCAUAGAAACCAAGUUGCGAAGGAUGGUUGCGUCCGUCAACAACAGGCAGAAGCCGGAGGAGGGGGCUCUCCUGCCCACUGGAGAGGUUUCGUUGUGCGGGUUUUUUUCUUCCCAGGAGGAAGGCGGCGCCAGGAUAAGGGAGGCAGCUUAGAGGCUGGGCCUGUGAGAGUUUUUGUGGAGAAUAUUGAGGAAAGAGAUGCCAAAGCAGAUGGCCGAAGUGACUAUGCAGAUGUGACUGAAGUUACAGACCUUGAGAUGGGACUCUCAUCUUGGAUUAUUCCCGCGGCGCCGGGCUAAUUGCUUGAGUGGAGAACACGAAAGCGGAAACUUUCCCCGCUGGGUGAGAGAAAGAGACGAGAGAUGAGGAGAAAAGUCCCAGAGAUGCAAUGAGAAGGGCUCCACCCGCUGUGGCUGACUUUAAAGAUGGAGGAAGGAGGCAGCCUCUGGAAGCUGGGAGAGAGGUGGAGCCUACUGCCCCUUUCCUUGAGUGUGGCUGGACCUGGUGACCUGAUUCUAACGAAUAAAAUAUGGUGG